AGAGUUUGAUCCUGGCUCAGGAUGAACGCUAGCGAUAGGCCUAACACAUGCAAGUCGAGGGGCAGCAUAGGGUAGCAAUACUUUGAUGGCGACCGGCGCACGGGUGAGUAACGCGUAUGCAACCUACCUAUAACAGGGGCAUAACCCGGAGAAAUUCGGACUAAUACCGCAUAAAACAGGGGCUCCGCAUGGAGAUAUUUGUUAAAGAUUUAUCGGUUAUAGAUGGGCAUGCGUUCCAUUAGCCAGUUGGUGAGGUAACGGCUCACCAAAGCAACGAUGGAUAGGGGAACUGAGAGGUUUGUCCCCCACACUGGAACUGAGACACGGACCAGACUCCUACGGGAGGCAGCAGUGAGGAAUAUUGGUCAAUGGGCGAGAGCCUGAACCAGCCAAAUCGCGUGAAGGAAGACUGCCUUAUGGGUUGUAAACUUCUUUUAUACAGGAAUAAAAAGAGUUACGUGUAACUUAUUGCAUGUACUGUAUGAAUAAGCAUCGGCUAACUCCGUGCCAGCAGCCGCGGUAAUACGGAGGAUGCGAGCGUUAUCCGGAUUUAUUGGGUUUAAAGGGUGCGCAGGCGGGAACUUAAGUCAGCGGUGAAAUCUCGACGCUUAACGUCGAAACUGCCGUUGAAACUGGGUUUCUUGAGUAUAGAUGAAGUAGGCGGAAUUCGUUGUGUAGCGGUGACAUGCUUAGAUAUAACGAGGAACUCCGAUUGCGUAGGCAGCUUACUAAGCUAUAACUGACGCUCAAGCACGAAAGCGUGGGGAUCAAACAGGAUUAGAUACCCUGGUAGUCCACGCCGUAAACGAUGAUUACUAGUUGUAUGCGAUAUACGGUAUGUGACUAAGCGAAAGCGAUAAGUAAUCCACCUGGGGAGUACGCCGGCAACGGUGAAACUCAAAGGAAUUGACGG
This 913-nucleotide ribosomal RNA is filed under the name uncultured bacterium. RNAcentral's name for it is "bacterial SSU rRNA". It matches the Rfam family "Bacterial small subunit ribosomal RNA", at positions 8 to 916 of the family's 1533-position model. The record is from RNAcentral.